Molecule: long non-coding RNA, 4093 nt
Filed under: Leguminivora glycinivorella
Lineage: Eukaryota; Metazoa; Arthropoda; Insecta; Lepidoptera; Tortricidae
Description: uncharacterized LOC125239260, transcript variant X2
Source: RNAcentral
AAAUUGAUAUUUGUUUGAAUUUUGUUCGGGAACAUUUUAGUUUUAUAAUUUUGACCAACUGUUUAUUGGAACUGCAAUUUUAGUAAUGAUUUUUUUUAGUAUUUGUUACUUUUGUCUAUUUUACACUGCAAUGUAAUUGUUUUGAUGGAUUAAGCUAAUAGACAUAAUAGUUUAUUACGGAUUAAGUUUUAUUAAGGAAAACAACUGUAUUUGUUACUAUACUUUUAAUUUUUCACUUUCAAACACCAGAAUUUUCAACACAGUAUAUUUUAUUAGAGAUCACAGCACAUAAUUUCACAGCUUAUUAGUUAAUAAAGUUUAUAGUAAAUCACUGUUCUUCAUAGGUUGUGAUGUGGUGAAAGCGACACCACUAUUUUGUUUUUCAGAGUUCUUCGGGAUAGCUGGCAGCAGUGUCCGGCAAAUCUUCUUUUGUGAUGUCAUUUAAAUAUGAAGAUAUUUUCCUCCGGCGUGUUUGUGCUUUUAGUUCCAAUGACAGUUUACAGGAUAAAUUUUCAAUUUUACACAUUUCCUGUGGUCCGGUGUCCAGUUGUGGGCAUGGCUGAAUCUUGUUUUUGCUUUUGUUUCGUGGUUUAUGUAUCCAAAUUCAGCAUUUAGUAGAAAUCUGUAACAAUUUCAUUUUAAUUUAGAAGUAUGCAAUACAGGUUAGUUUGGUUAUUUUGUUACAACUUGCAACAACAUUUAGCGUUUAUUUUGUUAUGAGAGAGGAGCCACAGCGUAAAGUAUGCCUCCUUUGCUCAUUUUUUUUUAGUACUUACCUGAAUUUUUUGUAGUUUUGUUUCACUUUGUUUCGUGUUAUUGAUCAACAUAAAAAUUGUUGCCUUUUUAUUUAGAUUUUCGUUGAAUUUCAUUUCGGUUGCAACAACAAAUGUUUCCUUGCAUAUUUUAAAGUAUUUUAGUCUAUUUUCGGAACUAAGUGCUAUGAUAUUUAAUUUUUUUUUCGCUCAUUUUGCACCGUAGCACGGUAGUUUUUCAAAUUUAUUUAGGUUGACACUUGACAGACAAGUUUUUUUAGGGUGCGUUCGGAAACGCGCAUAAUAUUUUGGUUACGACUCAGAUUGUGCAACAAAUUGUAACAAUUUUAUUGGUAAUUGUACAAUUCUUUUCGGUUUUUUUAGUAUUGUAAUUACUUAAAUUCAAUACAGUAAUAAGGUUUUUUUGGCACUCAACCCUGGGUAUUUCAAAACAUUUUUUGAAUUAUUUUUGUAACUUAAACUCGUUUAAGUAAAAUAUUGGUUCGGUUUUAGUUUUGGUUGGCAAUUUUAAAUUGUUUCUUUUUUGGUUAUUUCGGUUUUUGUUAUGGCAUGUUUUGGUUGUGAACAUAAGUUUUUGGUAGGUUUUUUUUAAUGAGGUUAAGCCCUCCCCUACUCAAUUACGUUUCGUUUUCGCGGUUGUUCGUGAAGAGUGUUGGAUAUUAAUGGUAGAAUAUUCAAUCACGACUCGUGUUCGGAAAGUGGUGGACAGAAUGUGACUGCUUCCACUACGAUUUUUUUUGGUAUGAGAGAGGCAUGGAAGGUAUGAAUGCGUGAGGUAUGGUAAACACGGCAGAUAUGAUGUAUGAAUACUUUAUAUGCGUGAUGUAUGUUAGGGGCGACACAACCUGGCUCACUUUUAGGUUUGAGCGGUCCUUAACAUGGCCAAAUUGGGUGUUCUGUAGUAGGUGGGUAUCGGGUGCUUACCACACCCGAGCACGGUUUGUGCAUUUUUGCGUAUUUGUGGCUACGCAGUUUGGUCGGUUUGGUGUGGAGAGCCAGCAGUCACCCAUUUUCAGGGGCUGUUUUUUUUGGUUCGGGCUCUCAUUUUUGGGCCAUAUCGACCGCGGUACACCGAUUUGGUGGUACCUUUUUGUGAUUAUCGUGCUGGCGGGUUCAAUGGCCAUUUUUCGGCGUUGGAACGACACACGGAGUUUGUUGCCACGUCUUUACCCGACUUCGUAGGAAGAAGGGUAAUGUUUUGUUUAGCCUACUACAGACAUGCAAUUGUUUUGAAUUUUUUUGAGUUUACUACAGACAUGCAAUUGUUUUGUAUUUUUUUUUGUUUAGCUUCAGCCAAAUGGUUGUAGGUAUGGUUUUGGUUUUGAUUUAUUUUUUUGCCAGGGUUAGGUGAGAACCUCACCUACUGUUGGGGGUUGAGUGCAACUUUGAAUCUUUUUUUAGAUUUUGGGGUCUCGUCGUCAACGUAUUUAAAUUUUUUUGGUAUUUUGAGGGAGAGUUGGCACAGAUUGGUGUGGCCAAUUCAACCAGGCAUAGUUUUUUUGGUUCAGUUUGUUUUUUUUUAGUUUGUUCACCUGAAGGGUUGAGACAAGCAGGUGUCGUCAACCUGUAGGGCUGUAACAAUGAUUUUUAUAGUCGGAAGACUAUAACUUUGGUUUCGCCCGGUCUAGCUGAGUUUUUUUUUGGGAAUGCUGAACAUCGGUCCUGGCGGUUGGUUUUGUGGCUUUCUCAGCACAAUAAGCUUUAUUGCAAGUUGCACUGAGAAGGCCAACGGUUGGUUUACUGGUUUGGAAAUUAGCGGAGGUUUUUUUUCUAUAUGCAGCGCAGUUGGCCGCAUAGUUUUUUUCACCCUCCGAGGGUUGACGCGGGUUCGAGAUUUUUUUUAAAUAUUUUUUUUGUGGUCAAACAGUAGUUUGCUUGUUUUUAAAUACCUUUUGGUAUAAUUUUGCAGAUUUUGGGGGAUUUUUUUUGAGAUUUUGCAGUCUCGAACUUGCGUCAGGUUUUUUUGAUUCUGAUAUUUUUUUGGUAGGUUUAGUUUUCUUGCCUUCAGAUUUUGUUUUUUUUUUAUGAAAGUCGCUGAGGACAGCGAGCGGUUCACCUACGUUGAACCUUAAAUCGGGAAGGGGGGUAUUGUAACGUAGCAGAUUUUUUGAUAGUCGUAAUUAAAUAUUUUGGAUAGAUUUAAUUUUUGAAUGAAACACUUCCUUCUCGUUCAUUGCAUUAUCUGUUGCACUUCAAAUGCACAUAUUUAUGUUUAUCUGUUGUAGGGUUGCCAUACAACAAGUAUUAUUCGAAAUUGUAGGUAUUUUGGCUGUCAUUCCAGGAAAACUUUGUAUAGUUUUGAUAUACUUUAAGUAUUGAUUUUUGGAAAAUAUAAUAUUUUAGAGACAUGAUAACAAAUGUUAUCAUAGGUUUUUUAAGGCUGUUCUGGAAUGAUAUUUGUUAGGUUUUGUUUACUUCAAGGUCUGAUACAGAAACUGGAGUAAUUUUCAUUUAAUGAAUUAGAGUAUUUUAUUGUUUAUUCGUUUGCCACCCGGCUUUUGUUUUGGGUCCUUUAAAUUCGAGAUCAUUCAGUGCGCCGUUCUUUCUGUGACGAGAUCCUCUUGUAUAGUGAUCGGACGGCCGUAUAAGGGCCUGGAGCCCGGCAUGCCACGUGCUGCCGUGGCGUUCCAUAUUUUGUGUGGUGCGUUCUGUCAGUCUGACUGGCAGAAACAUGCUAAGGGUGGGAGUGCUCCUUGGAGAUCCUCGGUCUGCAGUCUGCAGGUCUCCGGUGAGCUCGCUUACAUUUUUUUGUUUAGUCUAUCACAGUGUGUGAGGGCACUCGACUAAUGUGACCAAUUUAUUUGUUUCAUAGGAGUCGGGAAGAAGUAAAGAAUUAGAGAAUUGCAGAAGUAGAUAAUUAAACAAGAACCUUUACAAUUUCGAUGUGCAAGGAAACUUCUUUGGCUUACUGGCGCAAGGUGUCUUUGGACCUUGUUUUCGUAUGGAAGGGUCAGCCCUGUCCACGUGGCGAGGGGGCGUCAGCACCGGAGUCCGGGGAGCAGCCGGCUCAUCCCUGACAAGGUGUGUCUCCUGCCCGUUUCCUGCCGGUAAUGCUGUGUAAUUCAGGUUUUUAAUUUCUGUGUAAAGUAAUUUCUGAUUUCAUUUAUUUUGAGAAUUCUGGUGCAUAACUUUAGGUAAAUUCAUAUUUAGUUUUUGUAGAAUAAAUGGUUGUAAGAAACCUUUUCCUGGACCCUCUUAAAGCGGCCCAGCUUUACCACUGAGCGUAGUUCAUAUUUUUAUAUGGUGUCGAAUUUAGUAUAACUCACUAAUUUCUGUUUAGGCAAGAAUUAGCUUAUAUUUAAUAAAGUUAUAAAAUGUUA